CAUAGCCCAGCACUGCUCUAACCCACUGCCCAGUAGUGACCUCAUCCCCCCAGUUGUGAUUUAAUGACUCUAUUUGUUCCCCCACCCAUCCUCAGGAGGUAGCAGGGCUCUUAAAGCCUCUCUGCCCUAUUCGAGGAGUGGUGAGGUACGAACAAGAACCUGGAGAGGACAUUUUCCUUUAAAAAAAGGCACCGUGCUUUAGGCAUGGAUGUCAUUAACUGGCAAUUUCAUAAGCAUUAAGUGCUAAAACAAAAGAACCCAAAUAGGAGCCAUAUGGUCGAGGGCCCCCAUCUUCCCUGAAGUGCCCGACUGAAGCCAGAGGAUGUCCAAGCUCCCACUUUCACUUACUCUUGGAUAUGAGGAGAAGCAGACCCGGGGCAAUGCCAGGCAGAGAGCUGCUGCCCCUGCAGUCCUGCCCUGAGCACCCCAGCACCAAGCUCUGCUCUGCAGGCACUCUGCUGGGACAGCACGUGCCAGCAGCCUCACCUCUCCCUGCCCUCCACUUCAUCACCCAGCUGCUCUUCCCAGCUUUUUGUGCCUCAGUGACCUCUGCUGAAAGGAUCGCGGCCACUAUUAAUCACUAUCGAGGAGUUGGAGUAACAGCUAUGGGAGUAUAAAGUCUGUUGUUGCAAAACUUA
Non-coding RNA from Phasianus colchicus (ring-necked pheasant), 638 nucleotides. Lineage: Eukaryota; Metazoa; Chordata; Aves; Galliformes; Phasianidae. The record is from RefSeq and is a predicted model, not a curated record.